UGGUCAAGUUAUUAAGGGUGCAGGGCGGAUGCCUUGGCACUAGGAGCCGAUGAAGGACGUGAUAAGCUGCGAUAAGCUUCGGGGAGUUGCACGUAAACUUUGAUCCGAAGAUUUCCGAAUGAGGAAACUCACUUAGAGUAAUGUCUAAGUAUCAUUAAGUGAAUACAUAGCUUAAUGAGGGGAACUCAGGGAACUGAAACAUCUAAGUACCUGAAGGAAGAGAAAGAAAUUCGAUUCCGUAAGUAGCGGCGAGCGAACGCGGAUUAGCCCAAACCAAUAAAGUUUUCUUUAUUGGGGUUGCGGACAUAUCAUAACGAAGAGGUAUCGUAAUUGAAGAGGUUUGGAAAGACCCACCACAGAAGGUAAUAGUCCUGUAUGUUAAACGAGAAGACUUUAGAUAUGAUCCAGAGUACCACGGGACACGUGAAACCCUGUGGGAAGCAGGAGGGACCACCCUCCAAGGCUAAAUACUACCUAGUGACCGAUAGCGUAUAGUACCGUGAGGGAAAGGUGAAAAGAACCCCGGGAGGGGAGUGAAAUAGAACCUGAAACCCUGCACUUACAAGCUGUGGAAGCACAUUUCUUGUGUGACCGCGUACUUUUUGUAGAACGGGCCAACGAGUUACGUUAAGUAGCAAGGUUAAGCACUUAAGGUGCGGAGCCGUAGCGAAAGCGAGUUUUAACUGAGCGUUCAGUUACUUGACGUAGACCCGAAACCGGGCGACCUACCCAUGAGCAGGAUGAAGCGAAAGUAAAAUUUCGUGGAGGUCCGAACCCACGAGCGUUGAAAAGCUCGGGGAUGACUUGUGGGUAGCGGUGAAAUUCCAAUCGAGCCCGGAGAUAGCUGGUUCUCCCCGAAAUAGCUUUAGGGCUAGCCUCAAGGUGAGAGAUACGGAGGUAGAGCACUGAAUGUCCUAGGGGGUAUUGCACCUA
RNAcentral lists this ribosomal RNA (933 nucleotides) under Clostridioides difficile. Its description in RNAcentral is "bacterial LSU rRNA". It matches the Rfam family "Bacterial large subunit ribosomal RNA", at positions 1 to 938 of the family's 2925-position model. The record is from RNAcentral. Lineage: Bacteria; Bacillati; Bacillota; Clostridia; Peptostreptococcales; Peptostreptococcaceae.